GUCCCAGUAGCUCAGCAGGAUAGAGCAUACGCCUUCUAAGCGUACGGUCGGGGGUUCGAAUCCCUCCUGGGACG
This 74-nucleotide transfer RNA is filed under the name Fictibacillus macauensis ZFHKF-1. It matches the Rfam family "tRNA". Rfam says of the family: Transfer RNA (tRNA) molecules are approximately 80 nucleotides in length. The record is from Rfam by way of RNAcentral. RNAcentral also lists the same sequence under 10 other names. Lineage: Bacteria; Bacillati; Bacillota; Bacilli; Caryophanales; Fictibacillaceae.